GAUGAAGAACGUAGCGAAAUGGGAUAAGUAAUGUGAAUUGCAGAAUUCAGUGAAUCAUCGAAUCUUUGAACGCACAUUGCGCCCGUCAGUAUUCUGGCGGGCAUGCCUGUUCGAGCGUCAUUACGCCCCUCAAGUCCCCUGUGGACUUGGUGUUGGGGAUCGGCGAGGCUGGUUUCCAGCACAGCCGUCCCUUAAAUUAAUUGGCGGUCUCGCCGUGGCCCUCCUCUGCGCAGUAGUAAAACACUCGCAACAGGAGCCCGGCGCGGUCCACUGCCGUAAAACCCCCCAACUUUUUAUAGUUGACCUCGAAUCAGGCAGGACUACCCGCUGAACUUAAGCAUAUCAAUAAGCGGAGGA
Molecule: unclassified non-coding RNA, 357 nt
Filed under: soil metagenome
Description: partial contains 5.8S ribosomal RNA, internal transcribed spacer 2, and large subunit ribosomal RNA
Rfam family: 5.8S ribosomal RNA (bases 1-120)
Source: RNAcentral